AAAACGUACACAAAAUUAAUGCUUUGAACAGUCUUUAAUCAAUCAGUAUCAAAACACAUCGUGUUUUUAUAAACCACAGACAGGGAAUGUGGUAACAGCUGUGAAUUUGGGAGGUUUAAAAGGUUGCAUAAGGGCAUGUGAAUAUAAUUUAGCAUGUAUUGCAUAUUCUUCUCAUGUUAGCUUGUUUGGUAGGUUAUCUUUUCUCAUAUGUUGUAUAAGAAGUCUCAUUAAAAACUAGAAACUGACAUGUAUUAACAAAAUGGUAAUAGGCUACAACAUUACAUACAACAAACAGCUACUAUAUGCAUGCUCAUUUCAUGUUUUCUUAGGUGCGUCAGAUUUAAUGUCAGGACAGGAGGAGGAGUUUAGCACAGACACUAUACAGCAUACAGCUGGGUAAAGAUGAACAUCACACAACACUGUGUGGAGCAGCUGCUCUGUUUUUAGCUUGUUCUUACAAGUUCAGUGAGUGAACAUGGUGAUCUAUAUUAUUAUACUGCUGUUAUCAACUGAAGAUUCCAGAGCCUCAGAAGUCAUCACUCCAAAAAGUGACAGAGUAUUUGCUCUUGAGGGUGACAAUGUGACACUCUCCUGUAACUACAGCGGUUCUGCUCGUGGUGUUCACUGGUAUCGCCAAUAUGCAGGUUUACCACCACAGUUCCUCAUACUGGAAGAUUCAGGGGCAACAAUUGAAGCUAAUCCACCCAUCCCAGGAAUAACCAUCAAUCACAGAAAAAAAGAAAGCCAUGUGGAUCUGAUCAUCUCCCCAGCUACAGUAUCAGACUCUGCUCUGUACUACUGUGCUCUGCAGCCCACAGUGACAGGAAACCCUAUAACACUGUACAAAACAAUUUUCAUACACUUAUCAAGCCUUGAUAGAAAUGUGCUAACCACAUCUGGUCUCAACAACAAAAAGGUCAAAAAAAAUAAAAAAUAAAACACAUAAUGUACAACUGCUUGUAGUGUAAUUAAGAUAUUGUUAGACAGUAAGCAAUUCAGAGGGGAAUUUCUUCCAUAGAGAUCCUAGACUGUAAAACUAAAUCUGUAAAAUAACAGAAAAAGUACUGGCAGCUCAUUAC
This is a non-coding RNA of Onychostoma macrolepis, 1079 nucleotides long. The record is from the annotation of a RefSeq genome assembly. NCBI's taxonomy places the organism in Eukaryota, Metazoa, Chordata, Actinopteri, Cypriniformes, Cyprinidae.